RNAcentral lists this ribosomal RNA (403 nucleotides) under Sphaeroforma tapetis. RNAcentral's name for it is "partial small subunit ribosomal RNA". It matches the Rfam family "Eukaryotic small subunit ribosomal RNA", at positions 30 to 432 of the family's 1831-position model. The record is from RNAcentral. Lineage: Eukaryota; Ichthyosporea; Ichthyophonida.
GCUUGUCUCAAAGAUUAAGCCAUGCAUGUCUAAGUGUAAAUAAGUCUAUACUGUGAAACUGCGAAUGGCUCAUUAAAUCAGUUAUCGUUUAUUUGAUGAUCUCUUACUACUUGGAUAACCGUAGUAAUUCUAGAGCUAAUACAUGCACAAAAUCCCGACUUACGAAGGGAUGUAUUUAUUAGAUACAAAACCAACGCAGGGCUUGCCCUGGUUUUUGGUGAUUCAUAAUAACUUUUCGGAUCGCAUGGCGCAAGCCGGCGACGUUUCAUUCAAAUUUCUGCCCUAUCAACUUUCGAUGGUAAGGUAUUGGCUUACCAUGGUUACAACGGGUAACGGAGAAUUAGGGUUCGAUUCCGGAGAGGGAGCCUGAGAAACGGCUACCACUUCCAAGGAAGGCAGCAGG